This 24182-nucleotide long non-coding RNA is filed under the name Theobroma cacao (cacao). RNAcentral's name for it is "long non-coding RNA (TCAC_LNC006092)". Lineage: Eukaryota; Viridiplantae; Streptophyta; Magnoliopsida; Malvales; Malvaceae. The record is from RNAcentral.
AGCUAUCCUCCAACGGCUUUCAAAACCUCACCUCUCUUCAAUAUUUGUCGAUCUCCCAUUGCCCAAAGCUCAAAUCCAUUCCCCGAAAGGAAAUGCUUCCCUCGCUUUCGCUACUAUGGAUUAGGGAUUGUCCGGUGCUAAAGAAAAGGUGCAAAAGGGACGAAGGAAAACAAUGGUCCAACAUCGCCCACAUACCUGAUGUAACAAUUGAUGGUAGAUUCAUCUACGAAUGAUCAAGAGGAAGAAUCAGAGCAUGUCAACUUAGGUAUUUAAAGCCUACAACUAAUUACUAUUUUAACUGAUUUUUUUUAUGUACAAAUAUAUCUACACAAACCAUGACAUGGGCGAACAUUGAAUUUUUUUGCAUUUAAUUCUGAAAUAUUUUAGCAUGAAAUCUUGUGGUUCCUUGUUUAUUUGUUUUAGCAUGAAAAAUAGUAUUGAUAUGUUGCAAAGGAGAUAGUAAGGUAACUAAAUGCUAAUAUGUUCACUUGUUAAAAUGGAGAUGGCAGGAUUUAUAUUCUGCAUCUGAAAUUUGAGUUCCAAAAAUAUUAAAAUGUGAUUUCAAAUUCAUUUCAAGAGCAAUGGACAAGGUUGUGCAAUCCAUGGCAGAUUACUUCUAGUAUGCUAACUCAUGAUUAGUGUAGAGAUCAGAUAGUUGAAAGCUUCUCAUGUAAUUAGUUCCACCUGAAUUGAUUUUGAGCAAUUCAAGUUUAAAGUUUAACCUUUAAUAGACUCUAGCUUAGAAAACUAGCUAUGCUUUUCUUAAUGCUCCUUAUACAAAUGCUUUCUUGUGGAGAAUUCUGGUUGUUAAUGUGAGGGUUUUGGAACUUACAGAGUAUGGUUCCAUGGUUCAUAUGGAUUUCUUAAUCUGAUCUCAGUGUUUUUAAUGAAAUUCAUUGCUUUUUUCCUUGUGCUUAAUUUGAUGCAGCUUACCUACAACUUAUAUCUUGUUUCUUCAGUUUCAUAUAAUUUGGUUUGUUUUUGCAAUGAUCGUUUAUUUGAUUUUCUUUCUCACCUUCUCUGUAAUAUGAAAUCAGUUAUAAAAUUUCAACAUCCUGGAGAGCGUUUAUUUUGUGCACAAUUCAGUCUUUAAAUUAUCUUCCUCUUUUAUAAAGAGAAACAAUUUCAAAUUUUUGAAACUCAUUUUCUGUUGACCAUCAAAUGAUGUUUUGUUGACCAUCCUAUUUUCUACCAACAAAAUGUCACAAAAAUGUAGAAGUCAAUUUCUGGAAACAUAAAAUCUUAGUUGAAGCUGAAUUCAGAAUUAAAACCAAUACUUUUAUGGCAGGUUUGGUAGACAUUAAGAAUAAGCUUCGUAGCAUUAGAUUAUGAGCAGACUUGAAAUCCAUCUCUUUUCCUCUUAAUAAAUGAGGUUGCAGCUUUCACUUCUCUCUGCACGUCCUUCAAGCUACUACAAGUGAGAACAACUAUUAGAAUUUUUCUGAUUUCUGUCUCCUUUGUGCAAAUGCAUAAUUAGUGCCUUCAUUUCAUAUCACCAAAUUAUGUUCAUUGGAUUUGAGCAAAAGCAGUACAAUGACUAUAGCCAACUCACAAGAUGUUCUACCAAUUAAUGUUAUAUGUUUUUUGUUCUCUACUUCCUUAUGCCAUGUAAGCAUCACAAGUGUUUGAGAAUCAAUGUAUUAAGUUUUUUGCUACUCAACACUAACAACAGAAUGCUUUGGCCUCGUAUGACAGGAUGAACAAAACUCAUGAUUUUGUAUCUCAUUCCAAUGCCCUUAGAAUCAAUGAUAGAAAGUUUCCUAGGCAGCAUGUGAGUGUAUCAUGUUGAAAGAAAAUUAAGAUUUUGGGUUCAACUAUGAGUCUAAGUUGGAUGUGUGUGCACUAGUGGAUUUCUUGAUCCUUUCUUCCCCAAAAUAUGAGAUUAUAGAUGGGCAGUGAUGUUGAUUCAAGAAUGUCCAAUUCCAAAGAGUUGAUGGUUAGAGAGCUGUAUAGUGUAAGAAACUGUUGCUGACCGCCAAAAGUGAUUUGAUGGAGGAAUGGGUGGCUAUGGGAAAAAUGGAUUAGAAAGAGAGCAUCUUAGUUUAAAUGAACAAUUAGGCAUAGUUUCUAUGGAUAGUUCACAUUUGCUGUGAGAUUGUUUCUUCUUAGCACAUUCAUGAUGAGCUAAUUUGAAUUGACAAUGAAUGUUUAGCACGGGAAAUUGGGGAUAAUACUUGUCUUGAAACUAUUAUACUCCGGAAAUGUAGAAAUAUUAAAUAUUUACCCCAAUGACUGGACAAGCUCAGCCGUCUUCAAAAGAUUUCUUUAUGGGGUUGUCCAAAUCUUGUCCGUCUCCCAGAAGCUCUGCCCAACCUCCACCAUCUUCAAGAAUUGAUUAUAGAUGAAUGUCCAAGGGUGCAACAUUCCAUCGGAGAAAGGGGUUUCCCUACCAACCUAACUUCCCUUGAUAUCUCUGACCCCAAUAUUAGUAAGGCAGUAAUGGAGUGGGGAUUGCAUAGACUCACCUCUCUUACAGAUCUCAAUAUUGAUGGUAGUAAUUGUACCGAUGCGGUGUCGUUUCCUCAGAUGGAGACAGGAAUGAAGCUGCCCCCUUCUCUCACUUAUCUUUCUAUCGAAAAUUUCAAAAAUGUAAGAAAGCUAUCCUCCAACGGCUUUCAAAACCUCACCUGUCUUCAAUCUUUGGUGAUCUACCAUUGCCCAAAGCUCAAAUCCAUUCCCCGAAAGGAAAUGCUUCCCUCGCUUUCGCAACUAGAAAUUUGGUACUGUCCAGUGCUAAAGAAAAGGUGCAAAAGGGAUAAAGGAAAACAAUGGUCCAACAUCGCCCACAUACCUAAAGUAAGAAUUGAUGGCAGAUUCAUCUACGAAUGAUGAAGAGGAAGAAUCAGAGCAUGUCAACUUAGGUAUUUUAAUCCUACAACUAAUUACUGUUUUAACUGAUUUUUUUUAUGUACAAAUAUAUCUACACAAACAUUGAAUUUUUUAGCAUUUAAUUGUGAAAAAUUUUAGCUUUUCUUUCCCCCAUAAAUAAAUCGAACAUGUAAUCUUGUGUUUCCUUGUUUAUUUGUUUUAGCAUAAAAAAUAGCAUUGAUAUGUUGCAAAGGAGAUAGUAAGGUAACUAAAUACUAAUCUGUUAACUUAUCCGAAUGGAGAUGGCAAGAAUUAUAUUCUGCAUCUAAAAUUUGAGUUCCAAAAAUAUUAAAAUGUGAUUCAAAUUCAUUUCAAGAGAAAUCGACAAGGUUGUGCAAUCCAUGGGAGAUUACUUCAAGUAAUAUGCUAACUCAUGAUCAGUGUAGGGAUCAGAUAGUUGAAACCUUCUCAUGUAAUUAGUUCCUCCUGAAUUGAUUUUGAGCAAUUCAAGUUUCAAGUUUAACCUCUAAUGGACUCUAACUUAGAAAACUAGCUAGGUCUUUCUUAAUGCUCCUUAUACAAAUGCUUUCUUGUGGAGAAUUCUGGUUUUUAAUGUGAAGGUUUUGGAACUUACAGAGUAUUGUUCCAUGGUUCAUAUGGAUUUCUUAAUCUGAUCUCACUUUCUUUAAGGAAAUUCAUUGCUUUCUUCAUUGUGAUUAAUUUGAUGCAGCUUGCCUACAACUUAUAUCUUGUUUCUUCAGUUUCAUAUUAUUUGGUUUGUUCUUGCAAUGAUCGUUUAUUUGAUUUUCUUUCUCACCUUCUCUGUAAUAUUAAAUUAGUUAUAAAAUUUCAACAUCCUGGAGAACAUUUAUUUUGUGCACGGUUGAGUCUGGAAAUUAUCUUCCUCUUUUGUAAAAGGGAAACAAUUUCCAACUUUUAAGACUCAUUUUCCAUUGACAAUCAAAUGACCAUCCUAAUUUCUACCAACCAAAUGUCCGAAGAAUGUAGAAGUCAAUUUCUGGAAACUAAUUUUUGUAAAACAAAUAGAAUCUUAGCUCAAUUCUGAAUUAAACCCACUAUUUUUAUGGCAGGUCCAGUAGACAUUAAGAAUAAGCUUCGUAGCUUUAGAGUAUGAGAAGGCUUGAAAUCCAUCUCUUUUCUUCUUAGUAAAGAGGAUUGCACCUUUCACUUCACUCUGCGCUUCCUUGGAACUACUACAGGUGAGAACAACUGCUAGAAUUUUUCUAAUUUCUAUCUCCUUUGUGCAUAUGCAUGAUAAGUGAAUUCAUUUCAUAUCAUCAAAUUAUGUUCAUUGGAUUUGAGCAGAAGCAAUAUAAUGACUGUAACCACUUCACAAGAUGUUCUACCAUUUUUUUUUUUUAUUAGUAAUGUUCUACCAAUUAAUGUUAUAUGUUUAUUGUUCUCUGCUUCCUUAUGCCAUGUAAGCAUCACAAGUAUUUCUAAAUCACGGUAUUAAGUUUUUUGCUACUCCACACUAACAACAUAAUGCUUUGGCCUUGUAUGGCAGGAUGAACAAAACUAAUGAUUUUGCAUCUAAUUGCAAUGCCCUCAGAAUCAAUGAUGGAAAGGUUUCCAAGCAGCAUGUGAGUGUAUCAUGUAGAAAGAAAACUAAGAUUUUGGGUUCAACUAUGAUUCUCAGUUGUAUGUGUGGGCACUAGUGGAUUUCUUGAUCCUUACUUCCCAAAAAUAUGAUAUCAUAGAUGGCAGUGAUGUUGAUUCAAGAACGUCCAAUUCCAAAGACUUGAUGGCUAGAGAGCUGCAUAAUGUAAGUAAUUGUUACUGAUUGCCAAAAGUGAUUUGAUGGAGGAAUGGGUGGCUAAGGGAAAAAUGGAUUAAAGAGAGAGCAUCUUAGUUUAAAUGAGCAACCAAGCAUAGUUUCCACAGACAGUUCACGUAUUGUUUCUUCUUAGCACAUUCAUGAUGAGCUAAUUUGAAUUCAUAAUGAAAUUAUUUAAUUGUUGCCUUCUAUGCUUAGACCUAUACAACCUUGGGAUGGAUAAAGGAUUAAAUAUAUGAAUGUCAAGAGUUUAAAAUGUCAUAGAGAAAGCAGCUCAACUUUCUUCCAUUUUCUUUUUCAUUGUUGAACUUUUAUGUUUCUGUUUUUCUACUUAAGGUUUUCUUUUACUGUCAAUAUCUGUCUCAGGUUUUAAUUAGUAUGCUUUGGUUUUACUUUCACAGUCAUUCUCCUUCUUGGUGGAAAAGAUGUGAAUUGAAGACUUAUGAUCCAAUGUUGCCAAGAAGAUAGUCAGGUAACUUAAUACUGAUAUGUUGACUUAUUAGAAUGGAUAUAGUAGGAGUUAUACUCUGCAUUUGAAAUUCAAGUUCCAAAAAGUUAAAUGUGAUUUCGAAUUCAUUUCAAGAGCAAUCUGUAAAGUUCCACCAGAAUUGAUCUUGACCUAUUCGAGUGUAAAGUUUAUCCUCUAACAGUUUCUAGCUUAUAAAACUAGUUGAAAGUUUAACUUAAAUUUUAAGAGCAAUUUGUAAAAUUCUCAUAUAAAGGCUUUCUUGUUGGAAAUUUUGGUUUUUAAUGUGAAUUUUUUGGAACUCACGGAGAGUUGUUCCAUGUGUCAUAUGGAUUACUUAUUCUGAUCUCACUCUUUUAAAGAAAAUUCAACGCUUUCUUUGUUGUGAUUAAUACAAUACAGCUUCCAUAUAACCUAUAGCUUGUUCCUUUGGUUUUAUAUUGUUUGUUUUGUUCUUGAAAUUAUCUUUCUCUGAUUUUCUAUCUCACCUUUCUACAAUAUGAAAAUCAGUUAUAAAAUUCCAAUUUUCUUCCCAGAGUGGAUUUCUGCACCGUGCAUGAGCCAUGCACUCUUUUUUAGCUACUAUUCAUAGAUGACGUUCCAUGGGUGGCGAUGAUUGUUUGGAUGCUAUCUUUUCUACAAGGGAGAAAUGAUGCUUCCCACCUUCUUUCACCUUACGAUGAGAGAAAUAAUGUUUGGAGUAGUUCUUACAAAAGGGCUUUCAAAAGAUCUGCAUACAGAGGUAUGGUGGCAGUUUUUACUUUUGAAGUAUAUUUAAAAAAAAAUAAUCUUUUUGCCCCGAAAAAAUUGAAAAUAACUUUUAGUGAAAACAAUGCUUCUGUCCCCAUUGAAAUUUAUCAAAAUUUGGAAUUUAGACCAUAUGAAUAAAAAUCUCUUAAUAGUAAUAAUGCAUAGUUAAGUGAACUUUUUCUUCACAAUGGAAAGCACUAUAUAUAUCACUGCUUCAUAUCACCUUUAACACUUGAAAUAAACCUAAACGAAUGUUUCAUAAAUUUAAAUUUUACAAUUAGCUAGAUAACUUUGCCCUCAUCAAGAUAAAAUUCUGCAUUUAUCCCUGUCCUGCCUUAAAAAUGGAGAAUACUUAAUUGCCAGUCAUUCAUCUCUUUUCAAAAGGAGUGCUUUAUGUUGAUAUUAAUGAUUCAUUUAUUAAUUAUGAAUAAAAAGAAGCAUGAAAGAUCUUAGAUAAUACUUCCUAUUUUCCUCCUAUUUACUGCACCAUGUCUAUUUAAAAUUCCUCUCAAUCAUUAUUAGCAGAAUUCUUUUUUACUUUCAAACAGUUAAUUAAAGUUUUAUAAUUACAAAGUGCUUCUCAUGUCAAACGUGCAGGAAUUUGAGUGCGAGUUACGUAAGAAAGAAUGAAAUUCAAACCUUUGGACGUAAUUCAUUGACAACAAUUAAUACUAAUGGUAAGUUUUCAAAAGUCAAUUUUUGAAUGCAUGCUUGAUAGAAUAAAGCCUUCCUCCUAAUUAUCAUGAAUGUAAUUUUCACAAUUCUCUGUUUCUUUAUCUUUAAUUCUAAGCUUAGAUACUUUGAUUACCAAUUUUCAAAUAAUUUGGUGGAGCGAUGAAGAUGAUCCCAAUGCAUUAUGAAUUUGGAAGCCAGGUAACUAUAUACUAAUUUUCAUGUUUCACAAAAUAUCAAGUAAAAUAGAAGCAUCAUAAUAAUGGUCUUGUAUUCAAUAUUCAAAUUCUAAAAUUCAACAUUUCAUUGAACUAAACACUAAGGUAGUCAUGCCAUGGAUUUUGAUAAAUCUGGAGUAUUGUGGCAACCUUGGUAUAUAUUAAGAAUAAGAUUUUGAGCAUUAGAGAAUCAGCAAGCCUGAAAUCCGUCUCUUUUCUUCUUAAUGCAAAGGCUGGUGCUUUGACUUGACUCUACACUUCCUUCCAAGUAAUACAGGUGAGAACAACUACUAAAAGUUUUAUGAAUUCUAUCUCCUUUGUGCCUAUUCAUAAUUAGUGCCUUCAUUUCAUAUCACCAAAUUAUGUUAUUUGGCUCUUCAGGAAGUCUUUGUUUCUGUCAUCAUUCAUUGGAUGUGAGCAGAAGCAGCAUAAUGACUGUAGCCACUCUACAAGAUGUUCUACCAAUUAAUGUUAGAUGUUUGUAGUUCCUUGCUUGCUUAUGCCAUGUAAGCAUCACAAGUAUAUGAGAAUUACUAUAUUAAGUUUUUUGCUACUCAACACUAACAACAGAAUACUUUGGCCUUUGUAUGACAGGGAUGAACAAAACUUAUGAUUUUGUAUCUCAUUCCAAUGCCCUCAAAAUCAACGUUGGAAAGGUAGAGUAAAGUAAUAACUGACUGCCAAAAGUGAUUUGAUGGAGAAUUGUGUGGCUAAGGGAAAAAUGGAUGAGAAAGUGACCACCUUAAUUUAAAUGAACAAUGAGGCAUAGUUAUGGUGUUUUAACGACUUGAUGUGCCUCCAGUCUCCACAGACAGUUCAUACUUGGUGAGAUUGUUUCUUCUUAGCAUGUUUUAUAAGGUGAUUAUUGAUGUUAGAAAUUUAGCUUUUUAUUGAUAACUUCACGUCAUAUCGUUUACUUGUACUAGAGAAGACUUUUGUAAUCCUAUUAUUUUGAGUAGUGGAAGAAUUUGAACGGACUAUGGUCCCAUGGUUUUUCCCCUUACCAUGGGGUUUUCCACGUAAAAUCUGGUGUCUCGCUCUUGUGGGCUGUUGAUUAUUUCAUUUUUUUACAUUAAUAACCAAUUAUGAAUUACUACUUCAAUUAUCAUACAAUGUAUUUAACUUUUAUAAAGAGGGAUAAAAAUUUGGAGUUCUGGUUGUCCGGUUGUAAUGGUAGACUGUAAGGACAAUGCUUAGUGCUACCUUUUUAUCUUGGUUCUACUGAUUAACCUUGAGGAGUGAUGUCAAAGGAAUAUAUUCAAUAUGGUGGGCGUGAAGUUCUAUGAAGAGAAUUGAACAAAUGCAUUUCCACCAUUAUAGAUUCUUCAAUGCCAAGAUAUGCCAGAGUUGGAGUGGAAUUCUUACCAAGUUGAUGAGCAAAACGGGAUCUUCACUUGCCUCCAUGAUCUUUCUGUCAAGAAAUGCCCCAAAGUAUUGAGAAGUCUACCAAGUUGUCUUCCUUGCUUGGAAAAACUUGUGAUUUAUGAUAAUUGGUAAUUUUAAUUCCAAACCCUUCAAGGCUAUGUGAAUUAGAAAUUGUUGGGUGCAAAGAAGUGUGACAUGAGAGUUCUCUUUAUCUUUGCUCAUUCAAAAAAAAAGUCUCUCGAACACCCCAAAGUUUACUUAUGAUGUUAGGCUUAAUAAAAAUUAAAUUUCUUCGAAUUGGUGGUUGUCGGAGAGCUUACUUAUUUGAUGCAGAACAUCGGGGGCUGGUUAGCUUCUGCAGGUUUAGGCUUCAGCAUGUCAAGAUAUGGAGUUGCUCCAAGUUGGCCUAUCUUUAAUCAAGUGGCCGCUUACUCGUGGGGCUUACACACCUGCGGAUUGACCUUUGCCAAAUGCUGGAAUCUUUUGCACAAUUAGUUCACAGUAACACUUCUUUUGAAUUCAUUUUCAUCGGUAGGUGUGGAAAGAUCGACUACCUACCUGAUCAUGACUGCUAUUGCUAUCUGGAAGAAUAGGUACCAUUGUUUCAUUUCCUUUAUUUGGCACAAGACUUUCCACUGCCAUUCCAACAAAACCUAUGCAUUAUUGCCUACUGCCAACAGUUUCCAUUGCAAAAUCUGUAAUCGUAUUGAUACAAGGGGUUGCCUCCAUGUGACAAUCAUUAAUUUAACAAUUUCACUGAAUGACAAAAUUAUGAUCACCACAUCAACUAAAUUCAAGGUUCAACAUAAGUCAAAAGAUGUAAAAUAUAAAUAGUAGUAAGAAAUGGUAUAUAAAAGUUACUUUAGUAAACAGAAAUUUCUUGACAACUUAAUCUUAAUUUGUAAAUAACCCGUGACAUGAUACAGCCUAGGUGCAUAUAAAUAACUCGUGACAUGGUACAAAAAUUUUUUGUUUUUUUAUUUCUGUUUGUCGAUCGAAAAUCAACCCAAUAUGAAAAUAAAAGACAAUAAGAUAAAAUAACUGAAAGCCCGUGACAAAAACUUGGACUUAUCCCAAAUACAAAGCUACAAAAAAAUUUGACUUAGAGUUGGAUGUCAUCUAUUGUGUCCCCCAUGUCCCAAUUCCCCACUCUUUCCCAAAAGUUACUAAGCCAACGCAACCAAAAAGCCUAGGUGCAGAGCUCAUGGGCCACUCCCAGCCUUGAAUUGGGCACAUCGAAAAGUACUCUAUGGUUCUGUUGCUGCGUAUUAACUAUCACAUUCAACACUGAAUUCACAUUCUUUGGUGCGGAUGCCAUGGCCAAGCACGUGAUGCUGCUUGCUGUGCUAUGGAUUAGUAGGUUAUCGCGUGGCAGUGUCAUGUUCAUGCCUGCAAGCAUGAACGUUAUCGUCGGUGCCACAAUAGGGACGGUGUAACAUGUGUUGAACUCACAGAGCAGCCGAGGGAUGUCCCGUUGGCCACCUUGACUCGCCUCUGGAACUUGUCUCGGAUGGCUCUAUAGGCCGGUGCUACUAUCCGUGUAAAGAUGGCACCUAAUGUUGAAUAGCAAAGUUUAGUGACUUUUCAAUGACAAGAUAAAAUACAUUAAGGGCAGAUUUUGAAAUGAAGCUCUUUGAGUUAACAUAAACUUUAACAUAUUAUCAAACUUUUUACAAAAAAAUGAAAUUUUUUAUUUUCAUUUAUUUAGAGAUAUUAAUAUAUAUUUGCUUUUGUAUAAUAUUUUGUAAAACAAUAUUAUUAAUACUAGACCACUAUGGUUAUUUUGAAAAUAUCCAACAUAGAAUUGCCUCAAUGUAGUCGUGACUAUCUCUAAAAAGUUGUCUUUAAAUUAUUUUAUUUAUUUACAAUUUUUAUUUUGAAAAGCAAGAUGUAUAGAUUUCUUCCAUAAAAGGAAAUGAAGGAGCAGAGGUAAACAAAAAAUACCACUUGGCUCCACUGGCGAAGGGUAGUUAAGUCCGUCCCCCAAGUUUUUUAAAAUAUUUUAUCCAUUAUAUAUAUUAUUUAAUCAAAGAUGGAAGAUGGUAUAUUUAUCGAGAUCGUGGUCCUCUAAAAAUUUUAAUAUUUUAAUUCCCUUUAAAAUAAUUUUUUAUUCAAUAAUUAAUAUAAAUAAAAAAUAAUAAAAUGACGUUAUAAAUCUUACUCAAUUUUAUUUCUCUACAUAUCUUUCUCUCUCCUCUUUCUCCCUCUUUCUUUUUAUUUUUUUUCUCUUUUGUUUUUUUAUUUAUAUAUUUUUAAAAAGCAAUCAAUGAAAUUUCAUUCUUUAAUGUAUGUAUACAAAAGCUACCUCAUUUUGGUAGUAUUACAACAAAAACAUAUAGGACAUGUCCCUAAUACGAGAUAAGUUACGUAUAAUGAAACAUAACACACUUAAAACCUAGCAGUCUACUACCAUGAACAACCAAAGUUCGGAGGCAUUUCCUUUAGAAACACAUGGCUCCUGCAUAAUCUCCAUAUAGAGCUUUCUGGUUUACAAAAAAUCUCAACAAGCAUUGGGUGUUGUCCUUACUAGGCAAACUUCACUUUAACUAUACAUCAAUAUUAAAAGGAAAAUUAGUUCAAAUCAGCAACAAAAUGCAUAAAUACGAGUCUUAGUGGGUUGCACAUGUUAUGAAGUUGGAGCCAACAAACAAUAUCUUUUUAUUUUUACUUUACUCUCUUUUUUGUAAUUUACCACUAAAAUAUACUUCAUUUUUUAAACGUUGGGCACAAUUUUUUUAAAAGACUAUUAUAAAUUUUUUUUUUAUUUACAUGUUAUAGAAAAUUAUUAUCUAUUAUGAAUAUUUUGAUUGUUGGUUGACUUUUUUUUUCUUUUAAUUGAGGGAGGAGGGAUUUAAACUCUGCUCUUUAGACAAGGGGAUCAUACACCAACCAAUGAGCCAAAUGUUCGAACGAGUGCUGAUUAUUGAUUAAAUGUAAUAUAUUAAUUUUAAAAAUUUUUAACCCUUAAUCCUCUUCAUCUUUGAUCUUCCACAAAAGUUGAAUAGCGUUGUCCUGCUUGGCUCUACUGUAUACACAACCAACCCUACUAUUGUUGCGAGCAGGUAAAAAAUAUACAAAAGUUUUUGUACAAAAAUAUUGCCUGCAUUACAGUCGGCACUACCCAAAAGAAAAAGAAAAAGCUCACAACCAACUUACAGACAGCUACAAGAAGAAAGAAGAAGCAGCAUAAAUGUUACUUACAGUUUAUUUUUUAACCAUGCUAUAUUUUAUUAAAAUAACCAUGAAAUCAAUUUAUUCAGUAAAUAGAUAAAUACAUAAAUAACUAAAUAAGUAAAUAAAACAUUACUUUAUCAGUUUUAAAUAUGUGAAUAUAUUGUUAUAUUAAUUUCAAUAAAAUAUUAUAAUGAUUUUUACUAAUUUUCAUUAAUUUUAUUAAUUUUGUAAAUAUAAAAUAUUAUUAUAAAAUUAUAUUAUAUACCAAUUUAUAUCUAAUUAUCUUAAUGAUCAUUUUCCAUCUCAUGACACCCAUUAUGCACCAUUGCUUGUUGUCAAAGACAAGUCACAUCGUCGGUUUUAAUCUUAUUGGUGCAACUCCCAAUCUCAUCGUAAUGCUAUCAACCUAACCAUAUCUGUUUCUAUUUUCAUUACUAUCAAUGUUAUUCCUAUCGAUGAAAUUUUUGUUAAGUUUACAAUUUUAGUAAAAAAAUCUUAUUUUCCUUCGCUAAAUAUCAGUAGGAUAUCUAUAUUAGUAAUUUUAUGAAAUCACUACCUUGCCAACAAAAGAUCCUUAUUUACUCAAUUCUUAUCCACCAAUAACGUUUAUUUAUCAUAUAAACUUUUUUUUUGUACAAAAUUACAUGUAAAAGUAAAAUAUUUUUAAUCACAAUCAAGUUCUUAAAUUAUAAUCACAACCAGCCUAAUGAAAUUUAGCUUGCAACAAAUUGAGAAUUAAGAAGAAAGAAGUAAGGAUGGAUAAAUGAAAAAUCUUCAAUGGAGAGAAUCAAAUACAUUAGCAUUUACCCUUUAUACAAUCCAGUAGCUAGAAGCCCCCAUUUUCUUUUAUUUUAAUUUGUUAUCUCUUAAACAAUUCUUUUUAUCAGCACACAACGAGCGAAACACGAUUAAUAGAGUUGAAUCAUAAAAUUCACAGCAAAACAUUUAAAUAUUUGAUUCAAUAAUAUUUAUAUUUUUUCCCGAAUUCAGAUUGCAUUCUCCAAUUAAAAGUAUAGACUUCACAUAGAAGACUAAAAUCAAAUGCAAAAGUACUCAGUGCCCACGGUUGUACAGUCCAGGAUUUUCACCUUUCUUGGGAGGUUUAUUUUGGUUCGGGAGACAGUCAGUGUAACGUAGCCUGUCGCAAAUAACCGGGUUGUUAGGGGCAGAAGUGCCUCCAGUCCCAGUGCCAGAGCUACCAAGCACGCUACCAAUGUGGGAGUCGAACAAGAACUCCAACUCCAAGUUAUUGUGAGCAACAGGGGGGAAGAUGGAACUCCUCCAUUGAAGUAGCGGUUGCUCCAUGUUGGGUUGCAUGAAGAAGAACCAUUAGAGUGAUUAGGAUUCCUAGAGACAAAUCCUUUCCCACUACUCUAAUAACUUCCAUUUUUCUCUCUUUCUUUUUUCCUGCUCAGCCGACUCUUAGUAAAUAGCUACUACUCUCCAUCAAUCCAAGGGAAUUUCCUGUCUUAUUUAUAGAGAAAAAAGAAAAAGUUGAGGUGAACAUUAGAUGUCCAUAUACAAUUUGGAUAACACAUUUGCUGUUUUUUUUUUAAAAACAAUUAUUAUGAAUAGUAACACUUAUUAAUUUCUAAUGCUUUUUAAAAGCAUUUCUUGAGUACUAAAAAUAAAGUUAGUGAUCCCUUUGUUAAUAUUUUUUUUAACUUACCAUUGUUGUAUUCAACAGGGUCCAUAUAUAUUUGGAUUUGAAUGAGAAUCCCAUGUGAAUACACAAAAAUUCAAACCGAAUUAGACCCUGAAAGAACGACUUUCACAUGGUUGCAUGCACAAGUGUCUUUUGCUAAAGCUGACAAAAUCUCAUUCGUAAAUCUGCCUUUCUUCAGCACUGAAAACAAAAUUUAAGUUUUCACAAAAAUGAUGUAUAGACAUUUAAUUUGAGAUGAAAGAAUAUUAAUAGUGACUAUUAGGAGCAAGGAUAUGUUUUCCGCAUAUAAUGAACAUAGCAUAAUCACCUUGGGCACCCAUUUUUCCAUUAGAACCAACUCCUUACAGGUAAAGAGACUUCAUCCACAGGAAUAAGCCCAAUUGCAGUAGAAUGCAUAAUAUGUACUCCCAAAAUCUGUAUAUCAAACAAUAGAAACGAUAGCUGUUUGUUUCAGUCAAUUGAUUGUUCUAUAAAUUAAUCUCUUCAGUCAAAAGAAUUAGAUAAAUGAAUAACUUGUUCUCAAAUGAAUUAGGUAAAGAAUUACGUAAAGAAAGUGAUAGAGGAGGUUGGCUGAUGGACAGUACCAUGGAUUUCCUAUAGACCCUUUGCCAUUCAAGACUCUCGGUAAGGGAUUAUGUGGCUUCCCUUGAAGAAUAAUGAGCCGAAAUUUAACGUGGAUGGAUUUGUUAAAGGUAAAUCAGGCCCAGCUAGAUGGGGAGGAGUCCUCGGACAGCAGUAGAAAUGUCAUUGGCCUUUUAUUUUGGCCCCCUGGGUGAUAUAGACUCGAAUAGUGUGGAGACACUGGCAAUCAAAGACGCCUUACAGUUUUAAGGCUUUCAUUGAAAAAAAUUAGCAGUUAAGUACUCAAGGAUCUGUCGUUUGUCCAAGCUUAGUGACAGCCUUACAAAACCUACAAGAGGAAAAAUUUUUAAUUUCAUUGAACUUGAUAUUGUGUUUUCAAUUCUAUUAUUUUUUGACAAACAAUACAAAAAAUUAACAACAUUAUUUAUUAUUUGUAUUUAUGAAAUAUUUUAUUGAAUAUUUCAAUUUUGUUGAUUUUUAUAAAUUUUAUCAAUUUUUGUUAAAAAAUCAACAAAAUUAAACAUAUAGUAACAAAAUUCAACAUAACCUAAUAUAAUAACAAAUUUGAUCAUACUCCCACAGAAGCACAAGUAAUGAAAUGAAAUUUAUCAUAUAAAUUUUGUUUACCAACAUACAUGUAAAGAUAAAAAUUAUAUUCACAAUCAUGUAUUACAUUUCAUAUAAUUACAAAUUAAUAAAAUAAAUCAAAUAGACAAAUCAACCAACAAACUAGUAUAAAUCAGAUAUAUUCAAUAUAAAAUUGUAUUAUACCUGCUAAUGAUGAGAUUUGAACUUGAAAUAUCAACAGUCUAAUUAAGGUCUCGUAGUUGUCAUUAAGUUAAUGUCUCAUUAUUUCAGCUAAGCAAAGCAAUGAAUAUUUAGUUCUCUAUCAUUCUCCAGUCACAACUUCACCAAUGCGAUAGCCUGUAUAAGCACCAUUUCCAUCCUCAAGUAUUCUAUGAGAUGUGUCCCUGACUCAUAACGAGAACCAUGCCAAUGCCCAUGUUAAAACUCCAUCUCAUCUUAGUAUCUUCAAUUUUUCCAGCCUGUUGGUAUCCAUUAGAACACAGCUGGCAGUUCCCAAGAAUCCUUAUAGAGAGAAGCACCAUGGUCUUUUGGAAACACUCGAGGUAUAUUGUCUGUGAAAGCCACCACCUGUUCUAUGAUAUAUGCUAUUCUCUUUUCCCCUCCUUUGCUAAUUAAAUCUAGCAUCAGCUUAACAUCAGUAAUAAAAAAUUUCAAGACUUCUGAUUACCUUCAGUUUAGGUGUGUGGAUCAUAUUGAUAGGGGUUGCCUCCAUGUGACAAAUCAUUAAUCUAACAAUUUAAACAAUUACAAAAUUAUGAUCGCCACAUCAACCAAAUUCAAAGUUCAACAUAGAUCGAAGGAUGUAAAAUAUAUAAAUAGUAGUAGGAAAACGUACAUAAAAAUUUCUUGACAACUUAGUCUUAAUUUGCAAAUGAUGCGUAACAUGGUACAACCUAAUAAACUAAUCAUCAAUCCAAUAUGAGAAAAGAAGACAUAAGACCAGAUAAUAGAAAACCCGUGACAUAGACUUAGAUUUACCCCAAAUACAAAACUACAAAAAUGAAAAAUUGACUUAGAUUUGGAAGUCAUGUAUUCUGUCCCUCAUGUCCCAAUUCCCCACUCUUUCCCAAAAGUUACUAGGAGAAUGCAACCAAAAAGUGAAGUUGCAAAGCUCAGGGACCACUCCCAGCCUCGAAUUAGGGACAUCGAAAAGUACCCUAUGGUUCUGCUGCUGCAUAUUGGUUAUCAUAUUCAAUACUGAAUUCACAUUAUCUGGCACAGAUGCCAUGGCCAAGCAUGUGAUGCUGCCUACCGUGCUGUGGCAGUGUCACGUUCAUGCCCGCAAAACAUGAAUGUUAUCGUCGGUGCCACGAUAAGGAGGUUGUACUUGAAUUCUUAUCUUUUGGCUUUACUUUCUAAAAAAGCAGCAUUCUCUUUAUCAUAUUCUUUGAAGACUUUUGACUAAGGAUAGCAAAAAGACAAUACAUCUCUCUUUCUUACUAUAGUAAGUUGAUAAUAAGUUUGUACGAUUUCGUUGAAUUUUCUACAUAUUUUAUCAUGACUCUAUGCUUUGCAAAGAGAGUAUUAAUUAAGCCUUAAAAGCAAAGAAAUGAAUAUUUAUUUUCAUUUUCAAAUGCUGGAUUCCAUUGCAUAUUCAGUUCACAAUAACAAUUGCCUUGAAUUCAUUUUCAUUGGCAGGAGUGGGAAGAUUAUGUUCCUGAUCAUGACUGGUAUUGCUAUCUAGAAAAAUAGGUACCAUUGUUUCAUUUCCUUAAUUAGGCACAAGACUCUUUCCACUGCCACAAAACCUAUGAUUAUUACCAGGCGCCAACCGUUUCCAUUGCAAAAUCUUUAAUUAUAUUGAUAGGGGUUGCCUCCAUGCAACAAACAUUAAUCUAACAAUUUAACCAAUAAUAAAAUUAUGAUCACCAGUACAUCAACCAAAUUCAAGGUUCAAUGCCAACCUCGAAUUGUGACGUAGAUUAUGUUAGCAGAUGACAAGUAAAUUUAGUGCUUUUCUUAUGUAGUUAGGAGUCCUAUCAGAAAUUAUAGGUAUAAUAAAAUUUACUUUUUAUUUUAAUUUACUUGGACGAUAAGUAAGCAUAGGUUUAGGAAUUAAGUUUUCUUGCACUUUAAGGAAGUCUAGGGUAUAAUAUUAUUUUAUUUAAAUUUGUUUAUUUGCAUUCCAAGUUUAGGUCAAGUAGGAUUAGGUUAUUAUAAAUAGCACCUUUAGACUUAGUUAUUAGAUAAUUUUUUUUGAAUUAUUAAAUAACAUUAUAUUUUUUCUCAAAUUUUGAGUGUAAGUUUCUAUGUUUGAAACUUGGUUAUCAACUAUAAAGACUCUAUCCAGUGUUAGUCUUUGUUUUCACGUUAACUUACUAUAGCAAAUUGUGCACAUCAAAAAGUACCUUAUGGUUUUAUUGCUAUAUAUUGGCUAUCACAUUUAGCACUGAAUUCACAUUCUCUGUUGCGGAUGCCAUGGCCAAGCAUGGGACGCAGCUUAACAAAGUUUAGUGACUUUUCAAUCACAUAGUAUAUUGGAUGUUGUUUAAGGGAAAAUUUUGAAAUGGAGUUCUUUAAGUAAAGUUCUUUGAAUCUCCAACUUAAAAUAAUUAAAAAUUAAUUAUAGUUUAACCCCAAACUCCCUAACCUCCAACCGACGACAUUUUUUUUUGUUGUUUGUUUUUUUUCUUUUUCUUUGUGGUUGUUCUCGGUUGCUAGAGGAUCUAGGGUAUUUUCUUUGGUUUUUGUUGUGGCUAGGUAUUUUUUGGUUGCUGGUUCUUGCUAGGGAUUUUAGGGUUUUCGAUUGCUUCGUCCCUUUCCUUGUAGCUACAGUGUUCCUUUAUAUAUCGGCUCUCAAUCGGGUGUAUCGUCUCCACUACCUUGCCAGAUGCGAGUUUUUGACGUUUGGCACUGAUGGUGGUGCCUAACAAGGUGCGUCCGCACCCUGCCAGACGUACGUCUUUCUCUUUUUUUUUUCUUUUUUCAUUUUAUUUCAUCAUUUUUUGUUUCAUUUUCAUUUUUCAUUUUUUCAUUCAUUUUUUUAUUUUGUUUUUUUUGUAUCUUAUUUGUUGUUUUUUUUUCUUAUUAUUUAUUUUUUUGUCUGUCUAAGUAAUUACCUAUAAAAUUAAAGUGUCUACAGAAGGGAGCAGGAAAUCUCUUUGUGAGAGAACACAAGCCAUAGAACAAAGAACUCAAAAGACAGAGGAUAUUGGCCAUAUAUGCCUCCCUUAUGAACUGGGCAUAUUUUAGCAAUAACCCCUGAAAUGAAGCCAAUAUCGGGCAUUCAAAAGGAGCUUCCCUGCCUCAAAAGAACAAAAGCAUCACCAAGAAUAGUCCACCCAGUCCUAGUACACUACUAGUUAGUAGCUGAGCAAAAAAAAAAAAAAAAAAAAAAGUACUAGUAGUUAGUAGUAAAACUACUAGUAACGAGUAAUGUCCUCAUUAUUUAAUAUGGUUUAUCAAUUCUUCAACAAUUCAGUUUUAUCGAUUUUUUUAUUUUCUAUUUUUUAUCUUCUAAUAUCAACUUAAAUGUAAAAUUGUGAUGCAUCUUUUGAUGAUUGAGUUAGUGGAUUGUUGAAGACUAUACUUGGAUCAUAUUGAUAGAAAAAAAAAAGUAAAUUUGACUUAAAAUUAAUAUGAAAUAUAGAAAAAAUAAUAAGACUGGUAUAAAUAUUCAAAAAAGAAAAGUUGACAUAAUUUUGUAAUGAUUUUAAAAAAGUGGAUAUUCAAUUUGAAAUAGAAAAAGUAUAUAUUAUUACAUCAAUUAUUAGUUUAAUAAUUUAUUUUCACUCAAUAAGUAGAUAAAAUUUGAAGUCAAGAUGAUAUUUAUAUUGCAUCGAUCAAGAACACUUAUUGUUUGUUACAUAUAUACAUAUGUUUAAUUGAAAUUCUUUUCUACACAUCAUUGAAACAAUAUUUGGCCACUUGCAAUUAAUUUAAAAUUUAGAAAUGUUAUUUAUUUAUUUCUCAGUAUCAUGUCUACCUUAAAUAUGUUAACUCAUCACAAUACUUUUUACAAUCAUACCAAUCAUUUUAAAUUACAUUUCUACACAUUAAUUACAUUUUAAAUUCAACAAUAUGAUGUUAGUCACGUUUCUUGGUUCUUUCCUACUAUCGAUUAUUUGUUGAAUAGUCCAUCCGGAUAUCUUGAAUCUCAUUAUUUUUUUUCGAAAUAAUAAUUAUAAGUAAAAGAAUUUCAAUUACAAUCAACAUGUAUCACAUUCCAUCUGUGAAAAGAAUUAAUAAAUGCACCAACAUAUUAACUUAAAAGUUUUAAUUUUUUUUUUNNNNNNNNNNNNNNNNNNNNNNNNNNNNNNNNNNNNNNNNNNNNNNNNNNNNNNNNNNNNNNNNNNNNNNNNNNNNNNNNNNNNNNNNNNNNNNNNNNNNNNNNNNNNNNNNNNNNNNNNNNNNNNNNNNNNNNNNNNNNNNNNNNNNNNNNNNNNNNNNNNNNNNNNNNNNNNNNNNNNNNNNNNNNNNNNNNNNNNNNNNNNNNNNNNNNNNNNNNNNNNNNNNNNNNNNNNNNNNNNNNNNNNNNNNNNNNNNNNNNNNNNNNNNNNNNNNNNNNNNNNNNNNNNNNNNNNNNNNNNNNNNNNNNNNNNNNNNNNNNNNNNNNNNNNNNNNNNNNNNNNNNNNNNNNNNNNNNNNNNNNNNNNNNNNNNNNNNNNNNNNNNNNNNNNNNNNNNNNNNNNNNNNNNNNNNNNNNNNNNNNNNNNNNNNNNNNNNNNNNNNNNNNNNNNNNNNNNNNNNNNNNNNNNNNNNNNNNNNNNNNNNNNNNNNNNNNNNNNNNNNNNNNNNNNNNNNNNNNNNNNNNNNNNNNNNNNNNNNNNNNNNNNNNNNNNNNNNNNNNNNNNNNNNNNNNNNNNNNNNNNNNNNNNNNNNNNNNNNNNNNNNNNNNNNNNNNNNNNNNNNNNNNNNNNNNNNNNNNNNNNNNNNNNNAAAUAUAAUUAAAAUUAUAAAGACUUAAUUGAUAUUUUUUAUACAUACAAGUAAUAAUGAUAAAUAAAAAUAAUUUUUUUGGAUUUUUUUAUUGUUAUGUAAAUAAAAUUAAUUAUGAUCUUCUAUUUAUGAAUAAUUAAUUUUACACUUUUAAAUAUCUUUAUUUUAUAUGUAAUUAAUAUUUAAAAAUAGAUAAAAAAUAUUCAAAUAAAUAAAAAAGACGAGAUGGGUAAAAAAGCAUGUAGGACCAUUCAAUAAAUUUGGAGAGCAACGUACAGCUACUGCCCUUUACCAACCCCACUUCAACAGUAUGUUGGUCUGAGUUUCUUGGUUGUUUCCUGCGAUCCACACAUCUUGACUUGACGUCAACUCCAAAACAAUAUUCUUUUCUAAUUAAAUUCCAAGUAAAAUUUUAAUUAUAGUCAAAUAAUUUUCACAUAUCACAUAUUACAUCCAUAAAAAUAUUAAUAAGCAAGCCAAUUAAUAAGUAUAAAAUUUUUAGUUUAAUACAUUAUGCAUCUAAAUGUUUAAUUUAAUAGUAAUGCAUGUCUCUGUUAUGAAAGAGCAGAGUUUAAUUUUUUUUUUGGUAUUAUUGAUAUGAAACAAGAUUUAUCUAAUUUGUAAAUAAAAAUUUUAAUUAUGUUGAAUGAUUUUCAUUAAUUUUUUAAUAAAUUUAUAUUAUAAAAUCAGUUAUAUAGAAUUGAAAAGUUAAUUUUCUUCUUAUAUGUAAUUAUUAUUUGAAAAUAAAUAUUCACACGCGAGAAUAAAUAACAACAAGUGUAAAUAUUAUAUUAUUGGAAAGGGUUGAUGGGAAUGCACAAAAAACUUUCCAACCAAAUUAGGCCCAAAGAAAAGCACAACGCUUGACAUGACUUGACUUGCUCAGCUUGUCUAGAAACUGGUAACUCUUCACAACCACAUUAAUUCCCUAUGAUUUUUUCUGUAAUUCGUAUCAUCACCCAACCUCAAAAAUCUAGCAACCGAAUUAGAUCCAGAAACAGUUUCCACAAUCCAUUUUUCUUCUAGUCCAAUAUCCUUCUCUUGGAUUUUCUCUCUACUUCAAGUCUCUUGAUUCCUUUCUCAAACAUAUUGACCAUGGCUUUCGUUGCAGAGGCUGCUCUCUCUGCUUCCUUUGACUUGUUGUUGGCCAAGAUUUCCUCUUCCGACUUCAACUUUGUCACUGAGAAGCGGGUUCGCGAGGAGAUUGAGAACUGGAAAAAGACAUUGGAGAUCAUCCACGCAGUCCUUGCUGAUGCAGAGGAGAAGAAAAUGAAGAACAAGGCUGUGAAGAUUUGGCUGGCUGACCUCCAAGACUUGGCUUAUGACGUCGAUGACAUCUUGGACGAGUUUGCCACUGAAGCUUUGGGGCGUAAGUUGAUGAAAGCACAUCGGGCCAGCACUAGUAAGGCACAAAAAUAUCUUACUAGUUUAAAUCCACGUUCCAUCAUGUUUAACUCUAAGAUGAUGUCCAAGAUCAAAGAGAUUACAGGAAGGUUGGAAGAUUUAGCAACAAGAAAGAUUAACCUGCAACUAGAGAAAUAUGUUGGAAGGCCCAUGACAAUACCAAAAAGCAAGCCAAGCACUUCUCUGGUGAAUGAAGCUACUGUACAAGGCAGAGACAAAGACAAGAAGGCAAUAAUUGAUCUGCUUUUGAGGAAGGAUGGCAAUGAUGCUGGAGUUUCUGUGAUUCCCAUCACCGGCAUGGGAGGGAUAGGCAAGACAACCCUUGCUCAGCUUGUCUACAAUGACAGUAGCAUAGGAGAUUAUUUUGAUCUCAAAGCAUGGGUAUGUGUUUCUAAUGAAUUUGAUGUUAUUAAGAUAACGAAAACAAUUCUAGAAUCGGUCACUUUCCAGUAUUGUGAUAUACAUGACUUGAAUUUACUUCAAGUCAAACUAAAGGAAAAGCUAUCGAGCAAGAAAUUCUUGCUUGUUUUGGAUGAUGUUUGGAAUGAGAAUUAUGAUGAUUGGACAAAGCUUCGAUCUCCUUUUGAUGCCGGGAUUACUGGAAGCAAAAUAAUCGUAACAACACGUAAUUCUAAUGUUUCAUCAAUUAUGAGAACUGUUGCAGACCACUCAUUGCAAAUUUUAUCAGAUAAUGAUUCUCUCUGUAUGCUUGCUCAUCAUGCAUUAGAAAGAGGGGAUUUUACUGGGCAUCUAGACCUGAAAGAGAUCGGCAUGGAGAUUGUGAAGAAAUGUGGUGGCUUGCCUUUGGCCAUUAAAACUAUCGGAGGACUAUUGCGCACUAAGGUGAAUCAUGAUGCAUGGAACUACAUAUUAAAGAGUGAUAUUUGGAAUCUACCUGAAGAGAAAAGUGACAUAACUCCAGCUUUAUGGUUGAGUUACUAUUAUCUUCCUUCGCAAUUAAAGCAGUGUUUUGCAUAUUGCUCUCUAGUCCCUAAAGAUUAUGAAUUUAAAGAGGAGGAAAUAGUCUUGUUAUGGAUGGCAGAAGGUUUUCUAAAUGGAGCAAACACUAAAAGGAAUAUUCAAGAUUUGGGUAGCAAGUAUUUUGAAGAACUAGUAUCAAGGUCAUUUUUUCAAGCAUCUAACAAGAAUGAAUCCCAAUUUGUAAUGCAUGACCUAAUUAAUGAUCUAGCUCAGUUCGUUGCAGGAGAAGUAUAUUUUAAAAGGGAAAGGCAUGAUGAUAUGAACGGUCCAAUUAAUCGCACUCGCCAUUCCUCUUAUAUCAUUGGUAGUUAUGACGGAAUCCAAAAGUUUGAGACCUUUUUUGAAGCAAAGUCUCUACGAACCUACCUGCCCUUUAAGAUGAUGCAGCAAUGGAGAUGCUACUUGAGCAAUAACGUUCUCAAUGAUUUACUGCCGGCAUUAAAAUGCUUAAGGGUGCUCUCUUUGAAAAGGUACUACAUCACAGAAAUUCCUUCUUCUAUUGGAAAUUUGAAGCAUUUACGCUAUCUAAAUUUCUCUUAUACCAAAAUAAAAAGUCUCCCUGAUUCAAUAUGUAGUCUUUAUAAUUUGGAGACUCUUUUGUUGAGGUAUUGUGAGAAUUUUGAAAAACUACCCCUAAAAAUAGGGAUUUUAGACAACUUAUGUCAUCUUGAUAUGACUGAUGCAAAUUUAAUAAAGGAAAUGCCAAGUGGAAUUGGAAAAUUAACAAAUCUUCAAGUGUUGUCUAAUUUUAUUGUGGGUCAAGGUGAUGGAUUGAAUAUAAGAGAGAUGCAGAAUUUGUUAAAUCUCAAAGGUCAGCUUUGUAUUUCUGAAUUGCAUAAUGUGGAUGAAGCUCAACAUGCAUGGGAAGCUAAGCUAUCUAGUAAGUGUGACCUUGAUAACUUAGAGUUGAAGUGGAGUGCAGAUUUCAAUGAAAAUCUUAGAAAGAAAGAAGUUGAGAAAGAAGUGUUGAACUCGCUUCAACCUCAUAAAGAUAUUAAAGAGCUUGCCAUCAAGUAUUAUGGUGGAAUAGAGUUCCCGGAUUGGGUGGAAGAUGAUUCAUUCAUAUAUUUGCAAGUUUUAAGACUUGAAUAUUGUGAAAAUUGCACAUUCUUACCAGGAGUUGGAAAAUUACCACUUUUAAAACAUCUUUAUGUCAAGGGGAUGAGAAGUGUGAUUAGUGUUGGCAAUGAGUUUCAUGGAGUGAAUGGGCCAAAUGUAUUUCCAUCAUUAGAGACCUUGUACUUUGAAGAUAUGCCAGAAUGGAAAGAAUGGAAACUUUAUGAAGUUGACGAACAAGGUAAGCAAUUUUGUUGCCUUCGAGAACUCUUUAUUGAAAAUUGUCCAAAAUUAGAAAAAACUUUGCCUGAUCAGCUUUAUUCUUUGGAGAAACUUGUAAUUCGUAAGUGCCAAGAAUUGGUAGUUUCAGUUUCGAAUCUUCCGAUGCUAUGUGAACUUGAUAUUUAUGGAUGCAAAGAAGUAGUGCUUGGGAGUUAUGAUGAUCUAUGGUCAGUUAAAAAAAUCAGUCUUUCAAACAUUUCAAAGUUUGCAUGUGUAACAAAAGAAAUGAAGAUGGUAGAGUCGAUGAAAGUAGAAGUUCUCGAAAUUAAUAGUUGUGAGGAGCUGACGUCUUUGUGGCAAACAAAGUGGGGGUGGUUGGCGCCUUUGAGAUCUCUUCGUACUUUAAAGUUUGAAAAUUGUACGCAAGUUGUGUGUAUAGGAGGAGGGGCAAAGGAGGAGGCAAAAGAAGAGCUUUUGCAAUUAGAAAUACCGUGCAACAUUGAAUUUGUGAGAUUAGCAUAUUAUCAAGGGUUAGAGAGAUUAUCGAAGACCUUUCACAACCUUACAUGUCUUACACUGUUAUGGAUUGAAAAGUGCCCGAAAUUGGUUUCACUUUCAACGGACAACUUGCCUCCAACUCUUAGGACUUUGAUCAUUUGGAGUUGUGAGAAUUUGGAAUGUUUACUGGAUGACAAGGAGAAUAUCAAUUUCAGUAGCACAUCUCUUCUUCAAUCUCUUGAUAUUAGAGACUGUAAAGCUCUAAAAUCAUUAUCAUGGAGUGGUAAGUUACCCGUGCAACUUAAGAGGUUGCUUAUUUCGGGCUGUCCAGAGCUUGAAUGUUUAGCACGGGAAAUUGGGGAUAAUACUUGUCUUGAAUCUAUUGAACUCUCCAAUUGUGGUAAUAUUACAUAUUUACCCCAAGGACUGGACAAGCUCAGCCGUCUUCAAGAGAUUUCUUUAAGGGGUUGUCUAAAUCUUGUCCGUCUCCCAGAAGCUCUGCCCAACCUCCACCAUCUUCAAGAAUUGAUUAUAGAUGAAUGUCCAAGGGUGCAAAAUUCCAUCGGAGAAAGGGGUUUCCCUACCAACCUAACUUCCCUUUCGAUUAUUGAACCCAAUAUUAGUAAGGCAGUAAUGGAAUGGGGAUUGCAUAGACUCACCUCUCUUACAUAUCUUAACAUUGAUGGUAGUAAUUGCACAGAUGCGACGUCGUUUCCUCAGGAGGAGAUAGGAAUGAAGCUGCCCCCUUCUCUCACCAAUCUUACUCUCAGAAAUUUCAAAAAUGUAAGAAAGCUAUCCUCCAACGGCUUUCAAAACCUCACCUCUCUUCAAUCUUUGUGGAUCAUCAAUUGCCCAAAGCUCAAAUCCAUUCCCCGAAAGGAAAUGCUUCCCUCGCUUUUGCGACUUUAUAUUUGGGAAUGUCCGGUGCUAAAGAAAAGGUGCAAAAGGGACGAAGGAAAACAAUGGUCCAACAUCGCCCACAUACCUUUCGUAACAAUUGAUGGUAGAUUCAUCUACGAAUGAUCAAGAGGAAGAAUUAAAGCAUGUCGACUCAGG